UACGGGGGGGGCAAGCGUUGUUCGGAAUUACUGGGCGUAAAGGGCUCGUAGGUGGCCAACUAAGUCAGACGUGAAAUCCCUCAGCUUAACUGGGGAACUGCGUCUGAUACUGGAUGGCUUGAGUUUGGGAGAGGGAUGCGGAAUUCCAGGUGUAGCGGUGAAAUGCGUAGAUAUCUGGAGGAACACCAGUGGCGAAAGCGGCUCUCUGGUCCAAAACUGACGCUGAGGGGCGAAAGCGUGGGGAGCGAACGGG
Molecule: ribosomal RNA, 253 nt
Filed under: uncultured bacterium
Lineage: Bacteria
Description: partial 16S ribosomal RNA
Rfam family: Bacterial small subunit ribosomal RNA
Source: RNAcentral